GUUGUGUGUCUAGUUCUUUGACCUGAGGUGCAUCGAUGGUUCACCUUGAGUGUGUUAUAGUUUGACUACACCAUAACUCGAUCUCCUAGCCAUUCAAAAUUUUGAGGUGUAUGUUGGCUGUAGCAUGUUCAUUGUAGAAACCAGAUCGCAUCAAGAUGGGAUCUAUCAACCUCGGUAGAUGAGAGGAGUAGUCCUAUGAUGAUCG
This 205-nucleotide long non-coding RNA is filed under the name Elaeis guineensis (African oil palm). RNAcentral's name for it is "long non-coding RNA (EGUI_LNC057719)". Lineage: Eukaryota; Viridiplantae; Streptophyta; Magnoliopsida; Arecales; Arecaceae. The record is from RNAcentral.